This 198-nucleotide ribosomal RNA is filed under the name uncultured bacterium. RNAcentral's name for it is "partial 16S ribosomal RNA". It matches the Rfam family "Bacterial small subunit ribosomal RNA", at positions 328 to 539 of the family's 1533-position model. The record is from RNAcentral.
ACGCUCGACACCUACUGGAGGCAGCAGUGGGGAAUAUUGCACAAUGGGGGAAACCCUGAUGCAGCAACGCCGCGUGAAGGAAGACGGUUUUCGGAUUGUAAACUUCUGUUCUUAGUGAAGAUAGUGACGGUAGCUAAGGAGCAAGCCACGGCUAACUACGUGCCAGUAGCCGCGGUAAUCUGAGCGGGCUGGCAAGGC